RNAcentral lists this ribosomal RNA (58 nucleotides) under Nemania bipapillata. RNAcentral describes it as "partial 18S ribosomal RNA". Lineage: Eukaryota; Fungi; Ascomycota; Sordariomycetes; Xylariales; Xylariaceae. The record is from RNAcentral.
UUGGAAGUAAAAAGGUCGUAACAAGGUCUCCCUUGGUGGACCAGGGGAGGGAUCAUUA